GACGAACCGUGCGACCGUUGUUCGGAAUCACUGGGCUUAAAGGGCGCGUAGGCGGGCCCGCAAGUCAGGGGUGAAAUCCCACGGCUCAACCGUGGAAGUGCCUUUGAUACUGCGGGUCUCGAGGGAGGUAGGGGCGUGCGGAACUUCCGGUGGAGCGGUGAAAUGCGUAGAUAUCGGAAGGAACACCGGUGGCGAAAGCGGCGCGCUGGACCUCUUCUGACGCUGAGGAGCGAAAGCCAGGGGAGCAAACGGG
This 253-nucleotide ribosomal RNA is filed under the name uncultured bacterium. RNAcentral's name for it is "partial 16S ribosomal RNA". It matches the Rfam family "Bacterial small subunit ribosomal RNA", at positions 524 to 776 of the family's 1533-position model. The record is from RNAcentral.